CGAAGGGCGUAGCGUUGUUCGGAAUUACUGGGCGUAAAGCGCACGUAGGCGGAUAUUAAGUCAGGGGUGAAAUCCCGCAGCUCAACUGCGGAACUGCCUUUGAUACUGGGUAUCUUGAGUAUGGAAGAGGUUAGUGGAAUUGCGAGUGUAGAGGUGAAAUUCGUAGAUAUUCGCAGGAACACCAGUGGCGAAGGCGGCUAACUGGGUCCAUAACUGACGCUGAGGUGCGAAAGCGUGGGGAGCAAACAGGAUU
This 253-nucleotide ribosomal RNA is filed under the name uncultured bacterium. Its description in RNAcentral is "partial 16S ribosomal RNA". It matches the Rfam family "Bacterial small subunit ribosomal RNA", at positions 526 to 779 of the family's 1533-position model. The record is from RNAcentral.